AAAGCCUGUCCACGCCCCCUGUUGGUGGACAGCGCUACUGCAGUUUGAUGUCAGUUGAGUGAGUGCUAAUGCGUUUUGAGGUCUGUUUAGAAAGGCAGCGGACUUUUUAGUUAUUCCUUUCAUCAUUCUGUCUGGUUUGUGCGUUCGUGAGGAAAAAGUGAGUAUUUUUGAACAUUUACAAGAGUAUGUUGUAUGACUACAUACAGGAACAAUAUGUGUGUUAGUUUAACUGUAUAGUUUCAUUAUUUGAAUUGAAGUUAUGUAAGAGAUGUCAUUAAAGCCUAAUUUUCCUUUCUUCGCGGCGCACUCGAUUGAGAUUACUUUGCUAAUUAUCGCCGAUAAUUUAUGAUAACAUUGUUGUAUAUAUCACUUUGUGUGUUCUAUGAGUGUUUAUAUCUUAUAGUUGACUGUUACAAUUUAGUGUAGGAGAUUAUUGUGAAGUGAAUCUCCGUUUAUGUUCUCCGUGAGCUAUGUGCAGUUAAUCACCUCGUGAUUUAUUCAAUACUCCAUUUUGUAGUCUAUUUGUAAUGUUGGUAACAGCUACAAUUAAUAUUUGUGCACUUUAAGUUAAAAGCUGCUGUUUCUGCUAUUAGUGACUAUAUUAACCACUGUUGAUUAAUAUAUUAUUGCUAUAUGGUAUUGCUAUAAUGAUUAUUGCUAUAGUUAAUUUAUCUUCACAUCAUUGUUUUACAGCUUAAAUUGAUAACCUCAUUAUAUGUUUAUCUUUUCUUGUAGACCACAAACUCAAACACAAAACAAAUACCAAUACAACUAAAUAAAGCUCUGUUAAUUAAACAUACAUCCUCUGGAGCCUGAUUCUCUGACCGGAGUCAAGUCCAUAUCUGCCGCCUCAACCAGUUAAAUUGUGGGAGGUCACGCCCCUCCAAUACAUGGUCCUUCGAGCCGGAUUGAGUGCACACUCUUGACAAUAUGGACAGCGCGGCUGCUACAGACAUACCAGCAGAGAACAGGGAACGUCCUCACAGAGAACAUCGUCCACCUGCUCACUUGGCAGAUUAUGAAGUUGAAUAUGUACCCCGACAGGAUCAUCCCCCACCUGCUACAUCCUGCUCCAAAAGCAAGCACAGUGGCAAAUCGAGGACAACAUCCAAGAGAAGCAUAUCCAGCUUAGGCUCCAAGUGCAGUGGGCGGACCUCAGUAUCUGGAGGUUCUGCCCCCAUUCUUGCUUUAUCUACUGUACACGCCGCCAUUCUGGAGGAGAAGGUUAAAGAGAUGGAGCUUAAAGAGGUUCAGCGUCAGAUAGAAGAGGAUUCAUGUGCUGACAUAGAAUGUCAAAGGCUCGAGCUUCAGGCUAAGGAGGCCCAGCGACAACAAGAGGAAGCCCUCAAAGCUAAAGAAGCCCUAACAAAGCAGUUGGAGCGCCAGCGUCGCCUCAAGAAGGCUGAGAACAGAUUGGAGGUAGCAAAGCUAGUUUCGUCCUUGCUUCAAGAACAGAAUGCAGAGGCUCCACCGGAUGAUUUCCCAACCCCAGAUAGCUUUGUUGCUCCUCCCCAGUCACAAGCCGACAAGGCCACAGUGAUAUCUUCCUCUCACCAACGACAUUCAACUCCUCAGCAUGCAGCUGUUCUUUACUCUGCCCCAACAUCCACGGGUAUAACACCAGUGCUACCUUUAGCGCCCUUACAGGCAACAUCACUUCCCUUGGCUUCCUCAGCAGCCCAACCUGCAAUGGCACCUCCAAUCUUAGCACAGCAACCUCUAGCAGUUCCCACUAUGGCACAAAAUAUUGGCGCCACAGCCAACCUUAUGCUGCCAGCACAUCAAGGUGCGCAUCACUCCCGGUCAGGACAUGCUACACAUUACCAGAGUCCGACACUGGCAUACGCUGCCUCCCAACCCCCACAGGUUGCAACAGCCCUCACGGCCUCGUAUCCAGCAUAUAUGCAAGCCCCCGGAGCUGAGAUGCUGAUUGCUUCUGCCUAUGGCAUUCCUAAGCCUACUUUACCAGUGUUCGAGAGUGGCCGUGAGAGUGACUUUGCUUUACUCAAAAUGGCUCUAGACAACUUACUCAAUGCCCAUGGACACCUCAGCGAGCAAUAUAAAUUCCAAGUGUUAAUUGGCCACCUGAAGCUUCCCAGCGCACUACAGCUUGCUAAGGCAUAUAUGUAUGAUGCAAGACCAUACACUAUGGCUCUGCAUGCAUUGCAAGAAAAGUAUGGCCAACCAAGACAGCUUGUCCAAUCGGAACUAGGUGCCAUUCUUAACAGCCCAGCACUGAAAUACGGUGAUGCCAAUGCCUUUGACACCUUCGCAUUGUCAGUUCAGUCCUUGGAGGGGAUGCUGAGGACCCUAGAAGGAGAGAAUGGAUAUGAGCUGCGUUGUGGCUCGCACGUGGACCGGCUCCUGAGUAAGAUGCCUCCUGCUUAUCGUGAUGGGUUUGUUGAGUACUGCCUGAGUCACCACAUUCUGCAGACUGGUACAGAUAUAACCUACACUCUCCCGGAUCUAGCGACUUGGUUGCAAGUUAAGUCACAAGCUAAGCGUAUCUCCAGUCGAGCAGCAUCCUUGUAUCAGAGUGAAGUACCCAAGCCAGUCAAGAAAGAUCCACACAAUACUCAUUCCAAGGUGCGACCAGCGUCAGUCUUUCACACAAAGGAAGGGCAGGUAGACACAGCAGAGCUGGUUAGAGUCAAACAUGCAGCUAAACCCAAGCCUUAUUGCCCUUAUUGCGAUAAUAAGGAGCACUACCUUAACUCCUGUGAAGAAUUCAAGAAGUUAACCACCAGCCAGAUCGUCAAGUGGAUUAAAGAGGGGAGAAGGUGCUGGAGAUGUGGUAGAGGCCAUGCUGUGGAUAGCUGUACCCUUAAGCGGCCUUGCAAAGUCUGUAAGGAGACACAUCUCACUAUCCUGCAUGAGUCAGUCCAAGAGGUGCAGCACUCCGUUCUCAUGGUCAGCCUACCACCUACUAGGAUCUAUCUGGACCGCCCUAACCGAUCCCAGAAGGUCAUGUUAAAGGUCAUUAAAGUCCUCUUGCACAACGGCGACCUUACAAUGGAAUCGUAUGCUGUACUUGACGACGGAUCAGAACGUAGUAUUGUUCUCCCACAGGUGGUGAAUCAGUUGAAGCUUCUCAAACAUCCAGAGACUCUUCCCUUGCGGACUGUUCAUCAAAGGGUCACUCAGCUUGAUGGUUCAUCAGUUACUUUUCAAGUGUCCCCCAUUCAUGCACCUAUGGAGAGGUAUCAGAUCUCACAUGCCUUCACUGCUGAUAGCUUGUGCCUCUCUGACUUUACCUACCCAGUGGCUGCCCUACAAAGGAAAUACAAGCACCUGAGAGAGCUCCCCUUAGCUCCAGUGGACCGGGCUCAACCAUUGCUUCUCAUUGGGUCUGAUAUGCCACAACUACUUACCCCCAUUCAACCAGUGCGCAUCGGACCAACUGGUAGCCCUAUUGCUGUGUGCACUAAACUAGGCUGGUCACUUCAGGGUCCGACGACACUCACCCAAGACACAGUGACAGAGCAACAGUGUCUACACCUGGCCACAGCACCAUCUGAGGAGCUUCUCCGAAAUGUUGAGCGGCUUUGGCAGCUGGACACACUUCCCUACAGUGCUAAGGUGGUCACCCGUUCCAAGCAAGAUCAGCGAGCUCUCACUCUGCUUCAAACAGCUACAACGCGGGUAGACAUCAAUGGCACCCUGCGCUACGCCACACCACUGCUCUGCCGUACUCCGGAAAUAACUCUUCAUGCUCCCAAAGAAGCUGUACUGCCUAGUCUUCGCAGCACAGAACGUAGACUUGCCAGAGAUCCUAAGAAAGCAGAGUCCUACUGCAAUGAGAUAAGGAAGCUAGAACAAGCUGGAUACGUGGCUAAAAUCUCUUCAGAUCAAGCUGACGAAUCUGCCAAGUCCUGGUUUAUUCCCCACCAUAUGGUCCAUCAUAACGGGAAGGAUCGGAUCGUCUUUAACUGCUCGUACUUGUAUCAAGGACAGUCAUUGAAUGAAUUACUCCUGCCUGGACCUACCUUAGGACCGACCAUGCUUGGUGUUCUUCUCAGGUUCCGGCAGCACUCAGUGGCAGUGAGUGGAGACAUAAAGAGUAUGUUUCACCAGAUCCGCCUGCUGGCCACUGACAAGCCGCUGUUGCGGUUCCUUUGGAGAGAUAUGAAGAGGGAGCAAGAGCCAAUCAUUUACGAAUGGCAGGUGUUGCCUUUCGGAACGACCUGCAGUCCGUGUUGCGCAAUCUAUGCACUGCAGCGUCACAUCCAGGAACACGGAGAACAAGCUCUACCAAAGGACACAGUACAGCAGUCGUUCUACGUUGACAACUUCCUACAUAGCUCCUGCACCGUAGAAGAAGCCAAAGAUCUGGUUGACAACCUGCGGAAGUUACUUUUGGAUGGUGGUUUCGAGAUAAGGCAAUGGGCAAGCAACCUACCUUCGGUUAUUGAGGAUCUUCCCCCUGAAGCUAGAUCAGCAAGCAGUGAGCUUUGGUUGUCUAGGACCAGUGGCGACCUCCAAGAGCCAACCCUCGGCUUGAGAUGGAAUUGUCUAAGCGACACAUUAGGGUACAAACAUCGACCGGUGGAACCGUCCGAACCUACCAUGCGGACCUUGUAUAAGAUCCUGGCUAGCCAGUAUGACCCGAUAGGUUUCAUAGUGCCAUUUACUACCAGGAUCAAGGUUCUCAUACAGGACUUGUGGAAGCAAGACAUCGGCUGGGAUGACCCAAUACAUUCCCAGACUUUGCGGGAUCAGUGGCUCAGAUGGGAAGCGGAACUCCCGAACCUACUUCACCUGGAGCUUCCUCGACCCUACACUCCAGUCUGUGCGGACAACCCUGCUUCGACAAGACAGCUCCAUGUCUUCUGCGACGCUUCAGAAAGAGCUUAUGGUUCUGUCGCUUAUCUGCGCACAACUGAUAACGCAGGCCAAAUCCAUGUCUCCUUUGUGCUUGCCAGGUCUCGCGUGGCACCUAAAAAAAACCUGUCCAUGCCUCGCCUUGAGCUGUGUGCAGCUCUCACUGGUGCCCAACUGGCCAGUGUUCUUCAAACUGAGCUCACUUUGCCCAUUGAACAAGUCUUUCUUUGGUCUGAUUCUACCACGGUGCUGCACUGGCUAAGGUCUGAUUCGUGUCGCUACAAGGUUUUCGUCGGGACUCGUGUAGCAGAAAUCCAAACGCUGACAGAUGUGACAAACUGGAGGUAUGUGGAUUCAGCAAGAAAUUCGGCCGACGACAUCACCAGGGGUCUGACUUUGAAGGAGUUGGCAUGUCCCCACAGAUGGACUCAGGGACCAGACUUUCUGCAUAGACCUUCAGAUGAGUGGCCAGUCAUGCCUACCCCCAGUACAGAGACUGAGGAAAGUGAGCUCAGGAAGUCUGCAUUCAUUGGCAUCGUGUCAAUGGCAUCUAAAUCACAACUGCCUGACUCAGGUCAAUUUGACACCUGGAAAGACCUUGUCAAAGCUGUUGUUCAGUCCUUUCAUGGGGCGGCCCCCACUGACUCCAGUCAGUCCUAUGAUGCAGCUGACUUCAUCAAGGCGGAGAAGAUCCUUCUGGCACAGGCCCAAAUGGAUUCAUUUCCUGACGAAGUUAAGGCCCUUACUUCCAAUCAACCUGUCCUGCCUGACAGUCGGAUUGGUUCUCUUUCUCCGGAAUAUGACCAAGACACAUCACUCAUACGAGUUGGGGGUCGUCUGCGCCACACUGAACACCUAGAAAGGGAUGCCAUACAUCCUAUUGUCUUGGAUCCCAGCCAUCACAUUACCAAGCUACUGAUCCAAGAGUUUGACUGUAAGCUUCAUCACCCUGGACCAGAGAGGGUAUUAGCGGAGUUACGUCGACAGUAUUGGAUACUGCGGGGACGGGAAGCUGUACGGAAACACCAGCACGCUUGCCGAGACUGCCAGUUUUGGAGGGCAAAGCCGGAAAUCCCAAAGAUGGCUGACCUCCCGCAAGCACGUCUACGCCUUUACAAGCCGCCGUUCUACUCAACAGGAAUGGAUUGUUUUGGCCCAUUUAUUGUAAAGAUUGGCCGACGGAACGAGAAGAGGUGGGGCAUUGUGUAUAAGUGCAUGACCACGAGAUGUGUUCACCUUGAUUUAUUGGAAUCUCUGGAUACAGAUGCCUUCUUGAUGUCCCUGCGACGUUUCAUUGCUCGACGUGGGAAGCCUUUUGAGCUAUUGUCAGACAAUGGCACAAACUUUGUCGGAGGGGACAGGGAGCUGCAAGAGGCAUUCAACACCAUGGGCCCACAGUUGCAGCAACAAUUGGCAGAGCAGAGAAUCUCUUUCCGCUUCAACCCACCAAGUGCUCCUCACUUCGGUGGGACCUGGGAGAGAGAAGUCAAGUCAGUUAAGACAGCUUUGAAGGUCAUCCUCAAAGAGCAGUCGGUGCCAGAGACUGUGCUGCGGACAGUCCUCACUGAAGUUGAGGGUAUUAUGAAUGCGAAACCUUUAGGCUACGUGUCUGCUGACAUUGCUGACCCGGAUCCCAUUACGCCGAACAUCCUGAUUAUGGGACGCAGAGAUGCAUCACUUCCUCAAGCUCUGUACGACCCCCACAACCUGCUGGGGAAGCGACGAUGGAGACACAGUCAGGUGUUGGCUGACAAUUUCUGGUCUGCGUUCAUACGCAACUACCUGCCCAGUUUACAAGAGAGGCAAAAGUGGAGGACGGAUAGCAAAGAGCUUAGUAAUGGACAAGUGGUACUUAUUGUGGAUCCCCAACUACCACGUGCCCUUUGGCCAGUUGGCACGGUUACAGAGACUUAUUCAGGAUCGGAUGGCUGCAUACGGACUGCUGCUGUUCAGGUCAAGGAUAGGACCUAUGUACGUCCUGUGGCCCGACUGGUAAAACUGCCCAAAUUAGAAGACGAAGACGGACCUGCUGACAGACUUUCCUCGUGAUAUCAAAUGUCCUGAUGGACAUUUGGGGGCGGCUGUGUUGGAAAGCCUGUCCACGCCCCCUGUUGGUGGACAGCGCUACUGCAGUUUGAUGUCAGUUGAGUGAGUGCUAAUGCGUUUUGAGGUCUGUUUAGAAAGGCAGCGGACUUUUUAGUUAUUCCUUUCAUCAUUCUGUCUGGUUUGUGCGUUCGUGAGGAAAAAACCACAAACUCAAACACAAAACAAAUACCAAUACAACUAAAUAAAGCUCUGUUAAUUAAACAUACAUCCUCUGGAGCCUGAUUCUCUGACCGGAGUCAAGUCCAUAUCUGCCGCCUCAACCAGUUAAAUUGUGGGAGGUCACGCCCCUCCAUU
Molecule: non-coding RNA, 7221 nt
Organism: Paramisgurnus dabryanus
Lineage: Eukaryota; Metazoa; Chordata; Actinopteri; Cypriniformes; Cobitidae
Source: RefSeq, a predicted model, not a curated record